Dermochelys coriacea (leatherback sea turtle) is the source of this 717-nucleotide long non-coding RNA. RefSeq lists it as uncharacterized. NCBI's taxonomy places the organism in Eukaryota, Metazoa, Chordata, Testudines, Dermochelyidae. The record is from RefSeq and is a predicted model, not a curated record. The transcript is spliced from 3 exons.
GUCAAAUCGAUACCCUACAGAGCGCCUCUUGUCUCCUCCAAGGAAAACAAAGAGCUUUUCGUUUGUACCAUCAGGACCGGUGUGGACCUGGACACCAUUCUACUCCCGGCGAGGCUGCAAGAGAUUGCUGUGGCCCAUUUGGACAGCUUGAGCCCCUCUGAGCAGAUGGCAGUCAAAUGUGCAGCUGUCAUUGGCCAUACGUUUACUCCAAAGCUGCUGCUGUACAUCCUCCCGGAGUGAACAAACAAGAAGAUGGAGGAGACACUCAUGAGCCUGAUCAGUUCCCACGUGUUUGAAUAUUUUGGAAAAGAAACCAGCGCUACACAGGCAGUUGGUUCCUGCCAUUUACAGACACAUCUGGACCCCCUGACAAUGCAAACCCUGGGGCCAGAGGACUCUGAAGAUGUCGGUGCCAUUGCUCCUAGCUUCAGCCUGCAAGAGGAGUUGGGGAUGUUGCAGCAGGAUCAAGCAAUGCGGUUCUGCACUCCCCUGCUGCGAGAAGGGGCUUAUGAGCUGUAGCUGGGGGAUCGGAAGAAGGUCCUGCACCUCAAAUGUGCCACCUUCCUGGAGCACAAGGCUCACAAAUGCAGAAGUUGCGGUGCAGGUGAUUUCAUUUCCUUCCACUGCUAUGCCCUGGACACCCAGAUGAGCAAUGUAGACUCUUUGCUGGGACAGGGCAGUAAGACCAAGGGCAUGGCUCAGGUGCUUUCUGAAGAA